This 253-nucleotide ribosomal RNA is filed under the name uncultured bacterium. Its description in RNAcentral is "partial 16S ribosomal RNA". It matches the Rfam family "Bacterial small subunit ribosomal RNA", at positions 524 to 776 of the family's 1533-position model. The record is from RNAcentral.
UACGUAGGGACCAAGCGUUGUUCGGAUUUACUGGGCGUAAAGGGCGCGUAGGCGGCGUGACAAGUCAAUUGUGAAAUCUCCGAGCUUAACUCGGAACGGUCAAUUGAUACUGUUGUGCUAGAGUGCAGAAGGGGCAAUCGGAAUUCUUGGUGUAGCGGUGAAAUGCGUAGAUAUCAAGAGGAACACCUGAGGUGAAGACGGGUUGCUGGGCUGACACUGACGCUGAGGCGCGAAAGCUAGGGUAGCAAACGGG